Molecule: ribosomal RNA, 255 nt
Filed under: Enterococcus faecium
Lineage: Bacteria; Bacillati; Bacillota; Bacilli; Lactobacillales; Enterococcaceae
Description: partial 16S ribosomal RNA
Rfam family: Bacterial small subunit ribosomal RNA
Source: RNAcentral
GACACGGCCCAAACUCCUACGGGAGGCAGCAGUAGGGAAUCUUCGGCAAUGGACGAAAGUCUGACCGAGCAACGCCGCGUGAGUGAAGAAGGUUUUCGGAUCGUAAAACUCUGUUGUUAGAGAAGAACAAGGAUGAGAGUAACUGUUCAUCCCUUGACGGUAUCUAACCAGAAAGCCACGGCUAACUACGUGCCAGCAGCCGCGGUAAUACGUAGGUGGCAAGCGUUGUCCGGAUUUAUUGGGCGUAAAGCGAGC